Molecule: non-coding RNA, 383 nt
Organism: Coffea arabica (coffee)
Lineage: Eukaryota; Viridiplantae; Streptophyta; Magnoliopsida; Gentianales; Rubiaceae
Source: RefSeq, a predicted model, not a curated record
CAUCCAGCACCUUGUGCGGAAACUUGAAAACGGUCGACUUGAACGAAAGUCCGUUGGAGCAAGAAAAACGACUUCAAGCUCGGUUACAGGCCUUGGGAAAAGCAGUGGAGAAGGGUCGCCAAUUUUAUCCCAGUUGCUGUGAAGUUCUUGGCAGUUUCUGGAAAAUGAUGCAGAGGAUGUAAGAAUCAAAGAAAUUAAGGAGGAGAUCACUAAGGCAUUUGAGACAGACAAAGCUAGAAUUCACUCAACACACUUUUCCGCACCUUCACCAAGUGAAACUGAUACUGACUUCUUGUUGGAGAAGUUCGGAAAGCUGCUGAAAGGAAUUAAUAUAACAAGUAAAAGACAAACCAUGGGACUCGAUGAGGCAAUGAUGGCAUUCA